GAUGAACGCUAGCGGCAGGCCUAAUACAUGCAAGUCGAACGAGAUUAAGAGGCUUGCUUCUUAUGAAAGUGGCGCACGGGUGCGUAACGCGUAUGCAACCUACCUUAAUCAGGGGGAUAGCCCGAAGAAAUUCGGAUUAAGACCGCAUAAAAACACAGGAUAGCAUUAUCCAAUGUUCAAAUAUUUAUAGGAUUAAGAUGGGCAUGCGUGUCAUUAGCUAGUUGGCGGGGUAACGGCCCACCAAGGCGACGAUGACUAGGGGAUCUGAGAGGAUGACCCCCCACACUGGUACUGAGACACGGACCAGACUCCUACGGGAGGCAGCAGUAAGGAAUAUUGGUCAAUGGAGGGAACUCGGAACCAGCCAUGCCGCGUGCAGGAAGACAGCCCUCUGGGUCGUAAACUGCUUUUAUUCGGGAAUAAACCUUUCUACGUGUAGGAAGCUGAAUGUACCGAAGGAAUAAGGAUCGGCUAACUCCGUG
Molecule: ribosomal RNA, 482 nt
Filed under: uncultured bacterium
Lineage: Bacteria
Description: partial 16S ribosomal RNA
Rfam family: Bacterial small subunit ribosomal RNA
Source: RNAcentral